This 783-nucleotide ribosomal RNA is filed under the name uncultured bacterium. Its description in RNAcentral is "bacterial SSU rRNA". It matches the Rfam family "Bacterial small subunit ribosomal RNA", at positions 8 to 796 of the family's 1533-position model. The record is from RNAcentral.
AGAGUUUGAUCCUGGCUCAGGAUGAACGCUAGCGGCAGGCCUAAUACAUGCAAGUCGGACGGGAUUGGGAGCUUGCUUCCAUGAGAGUGGCGCACGGGUGCGUAACACGUAUGUAACCUACCUUUAUCUGGGGGAUAGCCUCUCGAAAGAGAGAUUAACACCGCAUAAAAUCACAGUACGGCAUUGUACAAUGAUCAAAUAUUUAUAGGAUAAAGAUGGGCAUGCGGGACAUUAGCUAGUUGGCGGGGUAAAGGCCCACCAAGGCUACGAUGUCUAGGGGAUCUGAGAGGAUGGCCCCCCACACUGGUACUGAGACACGGACCAGACCCCUACGGGAGGCAGCAGUAAGGAAUAUUGGUCAAUGGAGGCAACUCUGAACCAGCCAUGCCGCGUGCAGGAAGACGGCCUUAUGGGUUGUAAACUGCUUUUAUACCGGAAUAAACCCUUUCACGUGUGAGAGGUUGAAUGUACGGUAGGAAUAAGGAUCGGCUAACUCCGUGCCAGCAGCCGCGGUAAUACGGAGGAUCCAAGCGUUAUCCGGAUUUAUUGGGUUUAAAGGGUGCGUAGCGGCCUGUUAAGUCAGGGUGAAAUUUUCCAGCUCAACUGGAAGCUUGCCUUUGAUACUGACGGGCUUGAAUGCAGCUGAGUAGGCGGAAUGUGACAAGUAGCGGUGAAAUGCAUAGAUAUGUCACAGAACACCAAUUGCGACGCAGCUUACUAAAGUGUGAUUGACGCUGAGCACGAAAGCGUGGGGAUCAAACAGGAUUAGAUACCCUGUAGUCC